UGAACUUUAGGAACACAGUUGGAGGUC
This 27-nucleotide non-coding RNA is filed under the name Homo sapiens (human). Lineage: Eukaryota; Metazoa; Chordata; Mammalia; Primates; Hominidae. The record is from RNAcentral.